Molecule: ribosomal RNA, 429 nt
Filed under: Chloroflexota bacterium
Lineage: Bacteria; Bacillati; Chloroflexota
Description: Chloroflexi bacterium partial 16S ribosomal RNA
Rfam family: Bacterial small subunit ribosomal RNA
Source: RNAcentral
UGGGGAAUAUUGCACAAUGGGCGCAAGCCUGAUGCAGCCAUGCCGCGUGUAUGAAGAAGGCCUUCGGGUUGUAAAGUACUUUCAGCGGGGAGGAAGGGAGUAAAGUUAAUACCUUUGCUCAUUGACGUUACCCGCAGAAGAAGCACCGGCUAACUCCGUGCCAGCAGCCGCGGUAAUACGGAGGGUGCAAGCGUUAAUCGGAAUUACUGGGCGUAAAGCGCACGCAGGCGGUUUGUUAAGUCAGAUGUGAAAUCCUCGGGCUCAACCUGGGAAAUGCAUUUGAUACUGGCAAGCUUGAGUCUCGUAGAGGGGGGUAGAAUUCCAGGGGUAGCGGUGAAAUGCGUAGAAAUCUGGAGGAAUACCGGUGGCGGAGGCGGCCCCCUGGACGAAGACUGACGCUCAGGUGCGAAAGCGUGGGGAGCAAACAGG